This 10092-nucleotide long non-coding RNA is filed under the name Capsicum annuum. Its description in RNAcentral is "long non-coding RNA (CANN_LNC000228)". Lineage: Eukaryota; Viridiplantae; Streptophyta; Magnoliopsida; Solanales; Solanaceae. The record is from RNAcentral.
AGCUUCGAUACCACCCCAAAUUACGAUUUAACCCCAAAUUGAGUCCAAGUUCUUUGAUUAUUCCAAUUCAAAACAAUCAAUCGAUUGACGUUAACAACGAACCACUAUGAUCCAAAAUAUAUCAAAAUCAACAAAACAAAACAAAGCCCACACACCAUGAAUUUAUCACACCAAGUAUUACACGAUUAAAAAUUAAUUGAGAAUAAAAUGAAGAAUGAACCUUUUAUUCAAUCAAAUAGAGGAGCUUCGCGGAUUCGGAACCUCGACUUAAACCGACCUUGAAUAAAACCCUAUUUGGCAUCGAAUUUCGACCCCGAAACAGAUUUGAAAAUCAAGCGGAACCUCUAAAUCGCAAACCUCAAUCAACAAAUCAAACGAACAAUGGAAAACUCGAACGGAGGGGUGAACUGGCACUACUGGUCGCCGAUUUUGGUGAUAUUACCCAACGAAUUCCAAUAAUUUCAGCUAGAACAGUGAAGGACGGGACUGGGGAGAUGGUUUUUAGGUCAGUCACGUUUUCGAUCAGACCUCCAAUCGAUUUCAGCUUGCCGUCGCCUUUCUCUCUCUCUUUCUUCUAUCUCACGAUCUCACUCUUGCUCGAAUCUCUCUUUCUUUAUCUCCCUCCUCUCUCGAUUUCUCUAUCACAUUGGUUUUACUGUGUGUGGUGUGUUUGUGAACGAAGAAUAAAAAAAAGGUGCAUGCCUCUGUUUUCGUGGUUGAUUCUGUGUGUGGUGUAUAUGAGGUGCUAUGGUCUUCUGUGAGGGGUGAUUAUUGUGAAUGGAAUUGUGUGGGUGUGUACCAUGUGUAUGUACUUCAAUAGAAAAAGAAAAUGGAGAAAUGGAGUUGUGGGUGUAUCCUCUAGUGAAUCGAAACUGAGAGUAUAUAGUGUGGAGUGUGUAUGUGAAUAUGGUGAUGGAGUAUGUGCUCUUUUUUCGUGAGGAUUUUUUGGUAUCCCCGUCCCUUUUUCUAACCCCUUUACUUUGUGAAAAAGAAACAUGUAAAAGAGUAGUUAGGUAGGUUGGGUAGUAGGCUAGGGUAGGGUAGUGAGGUGGAUGAGUUUGUUAGGAUAAGGUUUGUUAGGAUAGGGAAUGAAUUUAUUCAAUUUUGUUAUAGUUUGUAUUUUUGUGGGGUAUAAAUACAUGGGUGAGGGUGUAGGAUAAAGAUAAAACAAUGGAUAUAUUUGGUUUCGGGAGGGACAAAAUUAGGUUUCUACAUCAUGCCCCUUUUUGGGUGUAAACACAAAGCUUUUUCAGACAAAAAAAGUAGACAACGAGACCAAGUUUUGACCCAACCAUUAUUCAAUGAAAGAAAUAGAAAGAAGAAGAACAACCGGGUCUUCACUUAGGACAUCCUACCCACCCAAGUUACGGAGGAAUCAAGUCACGUGUAUCUUAAAGGAUUGGAAGGAGAAGGACUAUACAGAGUUAGAGAGUCGAGUGAGGUUCCAUCGAGGCUCCGGUCUGCGGCUCUGUUAUUACAUCAAAAUGAAAAUUACAAGUCAAUACAUAAAUGAAAUUAUAAAAUCCUAUCCAUACAGGUUCUUUUUUACUUGAGUUUCAUCGCCCUAUUCUUCAGGCGAGCUCCUGAUUUGCAAUUUUUUCAACUUACUGCUUGAUUUUCAACUUCAUCACCCUAUUCUCCAGGUUGGCUCCUGACUUGCUAUUUUUUCAAUCUAUUGACUUUCAGUUUUUUCACCUUGUUGCUUGACUUCAACUUCUUCACCACGUUGCUUGACUUUUCAUUUAUUCGCCCUGUUCUUCAGGAGGGCUCCUGAAAUCACAUCAAAACUAAAAAGAAAAUUAUCCCAAACAAAGAUUAUAUAAAGAGAUUAUUUGCUAGAAAAGUGAAGUUCCAAACAACAAGAAUUAAAUUUUGCCCCAGUUUAUCAUCAAAGGACUUUUGUGAAAGUCACAUCAUUAUAGGGAUUAAGGAGAAUGACUCGACUAAAAGGUAGGUCUUAUAGGAAUCAAGGGGAAUGACUCGACUAAAAGGUACAUCUUAUAGGAAUCAAGGGAAAACUCGACUAAAAGGUACGUCUUACAGGAAUCAAAGGGAAUGACUCGACUAAAAGGUACGUCUUCUAGGGGUCAAGGGAGAAUGACUCGACUAAAAGGUAUGUCUUAUAGAGAUCAAAGAAAAUAACUCUACUAAAAGGUACGUCUUCUAAGAGUCAAGGGGAAUGACUCGACUAAAAGGUAUGUCUUAUAGAGAUCAAAGAAAAUAACUCUACUAAAAGGUACGUCUUCUAAGAGUCAAGGGGAAUGACUCGACUAAAAGGUAUGUCUUAUAGGAAUCAAGGGAGAUGACUCAACUAAAAGGUACGUCUUAUAGGAAUCAAGGGAGAUGACUCNNNNNNNNNNNNNNNNNNNNNNNNNNNNNNNNNNNNNNNNNNNNNNNNNNNNNNNNNNNNNNNNAAAGGAAAUAACUCGACUAAAAGGUACGUCUCCUAAGGGUCAAGGGGAAUAACUCGACUUAAAGGUACGUCUUAUAGGAAUCAAGGGAGAUGACUCGACUAAAAGGUACGUCUUAUAAGAAUCAAGGUAGAUGACUAGACUAAAAGAUACGUCAUCUAGGGGUCAAGGGAAAUGACUCGAUUAAAAGGUACGUCUUCUAGGGGUCAAGGGAAUGACUCGACUAAAAGGUGCGUCUUCUAGAGGUCAAGGAAAAUAACUCGACUAAAAGGUACGUCUUAUAGGAAUCAAGGGGAAUGACUCGACUAAAAGGUACAUUUUCUAGGGGUCAAGGGAAUGACUCGACUAAAAGUUACGUCUUAUAGGAAUCAAAGGAAAUGACUCGACUAAAAGGUAUGUCUUCUAGGGGUCAAGGGAAUGACUCGACUAAAAGGUACGUCUUAUAGGAAUCAAAAGGAAUGACUCGACUAAAGGUACGUAUUCUAGGGGUCAAGGGCAAUGACUCGACUAGAAGGUACGUCUUCUAGGAGUGAAGGUUCAAUUUAAGAAGUGUAUCACCCAACAAAUAAAAACUGAAAUCCCUAGACAAGAAAGUGUGUCUCCGAGGGAUAUAAGAUGAUGAAUUUUUACCAUGAUUUAAUUAUCAAACCUGUGCAGCAACAUUGUUUCCUGCAUUUGUAAAAGUGAGAAAUUACGGGCCUUGAUGUUUAGGCUUUGAAAUCCUUGAUUUGAAGGUAACAUGUGUUCCUAUUUCAUGCAAAGAAAGGUUGUGAGUUUAAAAAUAUGGUGGCUGGUUUGUGGCUUUGGCUUUCAUGGUAAACGCUCUUGCCGUCAUCACAUUUAAGAGUGACUGAGACAAACACAGCAUCUCUGUUUUGCCAUGCUUCUUAGAUAGACCCCUUGGAACCUUGGUAUUUCAUGAGUUCCUAGACUUAUUUAUUGACAAAACUUUCUGCUUACCUCAUUUUGGCUCACAAUCAUGUCUCUUUCAUGCGUUGGCCUUUUUGCCUUGCUUUGUACAAUUGAAGAAGCUGGUAGCCAGUUUUGAAAUCUUUUCUCACUUAUUUUGACAUAGACUUAACUCAAAGACAAGAAAAAAAUGACAAUGAUUUUAUUUGGAUAACUGACUCAAGAAAAAUAAAAAUAUAACUAUAGAAAAGAAAGAAAUAAUAAUAAACGUCCUUAUUCAAAAAGAUGAAAGAAAAGUUUAUCUAAAAAUGACAGUCAACUCUAAUGAUUAUGACAUGCAUAUCGGAUUAAACUGGCUGAUCUUUCCAUCCAAAAUUCUUACAAAUUGUUGUUGAGUUAACGACCCUGAAAGUGAGUUGCUUUCUUGGACCAAUUGCAUUCGGAGACCUCAUUCGGCUAGUGGCGCCUUGAAGGGUUUUCACCAACAAGCCUCUUUCAUUUUCUUUUAUCACCUGACUAUUGCCUUAUAGUAUCCGAGAGGUUUUUUUACCAAUAAGAUUCUUAUUUUUAUUUUUCUCAACUCACAAUCGUCUUACAGUGCCCGUGAAGGUUUUCACCGAUAAGACUCUCUCAUUUUUAUUUAUCUCAACUCACCGUCGUCUUACAGUGCCCGUGAGGGUUUUCACCGAUAAGACUCUCAUUUUCGUUUCUCUCCUGAUUUCUUAUGCUGAGGAAGACAAGUAGUUUCUAAAAUGCGUUAUCUACAUCCAUUGCAUGCUUAGCCUGAGCAUUCUCGAAGAUUGAUCUGAAGGUCUUUCUUUGGUUGUAACUUGACUUUUGGAUAAGGUUAGAAAGAAAGGAUGGCAUGGGGACCGAAUGAUACUUAAAGUGGGGUGGGAUAUACAACUUUUAGAAUCGACUCAAACAAUGAGGAUUAACUCAUGCCCCAGUUUCUUUUGACUGGGCAAUUCUAAAUUAUUUAUUUGGUUGGACCGAGCCCAGAGUAGGGUAGCCUACGUAUCUCAACCUCGAGAGAGGAGAAUCAGGUCACGCGUAGUUCUAGCAGCUUGUUCUUUUGAUUGAUUCUGAUUUUUGUUUCUUUUUUUUCUCUUUUCUCUUUAGGAUUUUUUUUCUGACCCUAUUUUGAUACUCUUUUCUUUUCUUUCCUUUUGUACACAUUUUUUUUUCGACACUUUUCUUUUGAGUUUUACUGACUCUAUCUUGGUUCCAAAAGAAGGGUAUGAAAGAAAAUAAAACAAGAGCUUAAAUGGGGGUAAACAAAGGAUGACACGAUGUUUGGAUAGCAGAAUGAAAUGCCUUCGUCAUAUCAAUCCUUAAAAAUGUAAGUACAUAUCUUGCAAUAUAAAAGUGAAAGAUGAAGAUCACUUGUGACAUCUUUUACAAAUUAACUUUGACUGAGUUUGUGCGUCACUAUUUCUUCUGCAAACUCCACAUUUAUUGUACAGUCCUCACAUUGAAUGACUCAUGAUUUUGUGAAGCUGAUUUUCUUCCUGUUCACACAGCCACUAUUUGACCUAAUUGAGACAUGUCGGUCAAUUGAUGACCAAGUUAUUCUUGUGAUUCUCAAAAUAAGUGCCUUAAUUUCCAGAAAAGGCUUCAACUGUCACCAAAUGUUUCAGCACUCUACCUAUUUUCUCUGAUUUUUCUCUUUUUUUUUUAACCUUAGCCCUUUGAUUCAAAGUUCAUGCUAAAACUGGUUUUCAAGAUCCAACUGAAAAUUUCGCAAGCAUGUCAUAUCACUAGAAUCAACACAAAAUUGACUGUGUAAAGAAAACAAACAACACAUACUUAAAACACAAAGGGAAAGGGACACUUCAUUUAGUUGAAAUAAAAUAUAGAAGGGUUUGAACAUGCAUGACAAAGGGAUAAAACAAGAUAGAUCCCGAACUACAACCCUGAAAUAACUUAGAAAACAGAAAAGAAAAGAAAACAAACUACCAGACCUCUUCCUAGCAGGGAGGAGGGUGACUUCUCAAUUGGUCAGCCUAACAACUUAGCCACUGGUUUGCAUAUCAGCAUGACUAGAGCUUUCCUCACUGUCAGACACAUUCCCUUCAGUAAAUAAGUUCUGGAUUCCCAUGCUUAACUUAUUUUCUCCCACAUAUUUUGCAGUACCUCAUACUAGUGAAGAACUCUGUGGGAUGCUCGAGGUGCCAACGUUUUGCACUAUAAUCACUUUUUCUUGAAUCAUCUUGUCUAUUUCUCUUUUCAAAGUACGACAAUCUUCAAUACAGUGACCUUGAAUAUUAGAAUGAUAUGCACACCGUAUAUUAGAGUAAAAAUUUCUUGAAUAUGGGUCAGGUGUAUACCCAAGGAGAGGAGUGAUCAUGCCCUACUGUACCAAUCUCUGGAAUAAACUGGCAUAGGAUUCCCCAAUAGGAGUGAAAUUAUCUUUUUUCUUCCUCAUCUUUGCGAACUCUGGCCUCGGAUGAAACUUGGAUUUAGAGGUUCCUUGGUAAAUUUGUGGGGGUCGAGGAUGAUGUUGAGAGACAGGUGCAUGCCAUUGUGGAUAAGAAGAUGGAUGAGCAUACAAUUGUGCAUUGUUCAAAGGAUAUUGAGGAAGUGGAAUGGGAUUUCUUGGAUUUUGGGGAAAGAAACCUUGUUGCAAGUGGUUAUGUGGAUCUAAUAUACAAGCUUGGGAUUGAGGCUAACAGUAUUGGUAGGUUGGACCUCUCAAACUCUACUUUGGCCCUGGCAUGACAAUAGGUCUGUUUUCCUUCUUCUUUCCUUCAGUUUCCCUUGGUUGAUUACAAUGUUGUCCCAAAUAUUUCACAUAAUCCUUCUGUCCAUCAGGCUCCCCAAAUUUUGAUGUCUCAAAGUUGGGAAGAAGGUUAACACUUGAAAACAUGCCCCAGUUUUUAUAUGAAACAUCUUCAUAGCUCAUAAGUCCGGGGGAAUUUUUCAUAUCAUUUUCUACACUAUUAACUUUCCAACCACUUUAUCUAGCUCUUCUAGUAUGCUAGACUUCUUAGUAAGAAAUUUUGGCGGUCCACUUUAUUUAAUGGUAGGCUCAAGAGUAUAACAAUGAUCAUCAAGAGUAUUGAACAUGGAUUCACUAGUGGACUGGGGAAGCACAAUCGUUGGAUUGAUAGCCAAAGUGAAUGUGGUAGACUUAUACUGAGGAGCUAAAGAAAGAGUGGUGGAAGUAUUGAGGUGCAUUUGACGUGGAAUGGAUUCUGAGGCAUGCUGUGGUGUAUCAACAACAGAAGGAAACUGACUUUGCAAUUUUGGUGGAAGACUCAAGGUAUUUGCAGGGUCAAAAGUGGGGAACGGAGGUGGAGGCAGCCCACUAGCCCAAGCUCGGUACAUUUCCAUCAUUUGUUGUCUCAGUCUCAAAUUCUCUUCCUUUAAACUCUCAAUUUCCUGACUCUUGGUUUCAUCCAUGGUGCCACUCUCUAUAUCCUUGUUGGACAUAACUAAACCUUCCUUGGAUUUGGUAUGAUAUGGAGGACUAGCCAGGAAGCCUCAAACCAACCACCUUAAACUAACUGAACAAGAUGCAAUAAAUAUGUUAGAGUUUAACCUUUUUCAAAACCUCUUUUUUUUUAAAAAAGAUCACCGAACCCAAGAAGGGCGCCUACGUAUCUCACCCCCGAGGGGGGAGAAUCAGGUAUGCGUAAUUCGUGAAGUCUUGCCAAAAUGGCCAAUUGAACUCUUUGUUUUCUUUCUUUUUUUUUCUUUUUCUCGAAACUUUACAAGAAAAGAAAAUAACAAUUUGUCAAAAGAAUUGACGAAAAUGUUUUUGAAUUUUUCAGCUUUAACAUCCCUAUACAAUGUGAAAUCUAUGAUUACCAAAGAUUUUUUAUUUUUUUUUUGUAUUUUCAGUUUUAAAUUUCAUAUGAAAAUGAAACCUGAACCUAUUAAAGGAAAAUCUUUUUGCAGUUUUCUUUUAAAGGUGUAAAUGAAACACUUACUCUAAAUAAAGAGUGAAGAAAAUCCUUUUGAAUUUUUUUCAAAUAAGAUCCCCGAACCGACAAUAAGCUGCCUACGUAUCUCACUCCCGAAAGAGGAGAGUCAAGGGUGCGUAGUUCGUCCAGAUUGGACAAUUAAGGAUUAAUUAACAAACUAAAUCCUGAAUUGAGAGACACGACUAAAGACAGACGAAUAAAAUCUUUUUGGAUUCUGAAUUAUAAACUAACACCAACAACUAUGAAAGAAAAAAAAUCUUUUUGAUAUUUUCGUUAUAUAAAAAUGUACAAAGCUCCUAUUGAAAGGAAAAAAUAUUUUUGGAGGUUUCUAAUUGUGAAUACCUACUAAAGAAAUAAAAGGAAACUAUUUUUAACGUUUUAGAUUUUUUGGGAAAUGAGUGCAUAAAGUAAAAAAAAAAAUUUUUUUUUUAAUUGUGAAAAACAAAAGUCAUAAAGAACCCUAAAAACUACCAAAUACGCUUUUUUCUUCCUUUUUUCAACAAUUUCCUUCCUACACACGUUGCUUUUAACUCAUGCUUUUGCCCAAAUCAGUCUGUCAAAUGACCUUGUUACCCUCAAAGAUACAACAUUUAUCACGUAGGGAUGCUUUAGAGGUGAGUUUCCUACAAAGGACCAAGUGGCUCCCGCUAGGUCUUCAAUAUGAUGCACAUAAAUAUGACCUAAAGGCUGACCUACGUUGUGGUUCACUAACAAGGCUGUUUGGGGAAUCGUAUGGUCGAUAAUGGCUGCUUUGCUUUCCACCUACUCCAUAACACCGACGGCUCCCCCUCUUAAAAUAAGGGUGACUCAACUAGAGGUUGUGUACAACACGUGUACUACGGACUUGUUGCAGAAAGAAUGACUCGGGUUAUGCACAUGAUACCAGAUAUAAAGCGGUAACACAUAAAGUAAAACUGUAAACAAAGAGCACGUAGGCACUUAACACUGAUAAAAUGAAUACGAACAAUAACACAAACAAUGUCUAUACACCCAUAAUGUCAAACAAAGCCGAUAUAACUCCAAAAUUAGCUCGAAUUCUGAAAAGUCCCCAGCAGAGUCGCCAGAUCUGUCACACCCCUUUUUUCAACUCCAUAAAGAUUGUAUUUUUAUGUUUGAAAAUUCGAAAGUGUUUUUAUUAUUAAAGUGACAAAAGAUUGAAAUUUUAUUUUUGAAAAAGGAUUAUUUACAUUUUUUAUUCAGAGUCGCCACUUGACAUAAUUCGGUGUGUCAAGUCACCUUUGAAAAAUCCUUUUCAAAACAGUUUGACUCUAAAAGCUGAUCUACGAACAGAGAUUCCGAUUAAGGAAUUUUGUUGAUCAAGGAAAAGGUGUUAGGCACCCCUCGGUCCCGUGGUUUGACCACGAUCGCUUGGUGAAGCGUAUCGGCUAAUUUGACAUUAUGAAUAUAUAAACCACACAAAACAAUCAAUCAAACAAACAAACAAAACAAAUCCAAAAUUAUAUUGUCCAGUCCGAUUAUUACAAUCCCGAAAUAGAAAAGUGCGAAAAUAUAAACCUACUCUAUUCUAUGCUAAUUCUAAACUGCACUCCAUUGCUUUCUCCACCCGACGUUUCGGGCCUUGAUCGUGCGUCGUUUUCAAUUACAUGGUAUUUCGGAGCAUUCCCCGGAUAAAUCAAUACAAAUCCUCUGGGGCAUUCCCCGACCAAAUAAAUACAAUAGAUCCCAAUGCAUAAAUCAAAAUUAUUCCACAAACAUUUCAUCAUUCGACAAUCACAAAUUCUAAACUUUGCCUACCCAACUUACGUUUUCCUAUUACUUCCGACUUAUCAUGCUACUACCACGUUUAACAAUGUCAACAUCGAUCAAGAUGACAAAUUAAAUAAACUAAGUGAAAUUACGAAUUAACCAGCUUCGAUACCAGCCCCAGAUUACGAUUUAACCCCAAAUUGAGUCCAAGUUCUUUGAUUAUUCCAAUUCAAAACAAUCAAUCGAUCGACGUCAACAAUCAACCACUAUGAUCCAAAAUAUAUCAAAAUCAACAAAACAAAAUAAAACCCACACACCAUGAAUUUAUCACACCAAGUAUUACACGAUUAAAAAUUAAUUGAGAAUAAAAUGAAGAAUGGACCUUUUAUUCAAUCAAACAGAGGAGCCUCGCGAAUUCGGAUCCUCGACUUAAACCGACCUUGACAAAACCCCAUUUGGCGUCGAAUUUUGACCCCGAAACAGAUUUGAAAAUCAAGCGGAACCUCAAAAUCGCAAACCUCAAUUAACAAAUCAAACGAACAAUGGAAAACUCAAACGGAGGGGUGAACUGGCGCUACUGGUCGCCGAUUUUGGUGAUAUUACCCAAUAGAUUCCAAUAAUUUCGGCCAUAACAGUGAAGGACGGGACUGGGGAGAUGUUUUUUUGGUCAGUCACAUUUUCGAUCAGACCACCAAUCGAUUUCAGCUUGCCGUCGCCUUUCUCCCUCUCUCUCCAAUCUCACAAUCUCACUCUUGCUCGAAUUUCUCAUUCUUUAUCUCCCUCCUCUCUCGAUUUCUCCCUCACAUUGGUGUUACUGUAUGUGGUGUGUUUGUGAACGAAGAAAAAAAGAAAAAAAUGGUGUAUGCCUCUGUUUCCGUGGUUGAUUCUGUGUGUGGUGUAUACGAGGUGCUAUGGUCUUCUGUGAGGGGUGAUUAUUGUGAAUGGAAUUGUGUGGGUGUGUACCGUGUGUAUGUGCUUCAAUGGAAAAAGAAAAUAGAGAAAUUGAGCUAUGGGUGUAUCCUCUAGUGAAUCGAAAUUGGGAGUCUAUCAUGUGGAGUGUGUAUGUGAAUAUGGUGAUGGAGUAUGUGCUCUUUUUUCAUAAGGAUUUUUUGGUAUCCCCGUCCCUUUUUCUAACC